CCUACGGGAGGCAGCAGUGAGGAAUAUUGGUCAAUGGACGCAAGCCUGAACCAGCCAUGCCGCGUGCAUGAAGACGGCUCUAUGAGUUGUAAACUGCUUUUGCACGAGGGUAAACGCAGAUACGCGUAUCUGUCUGCAAGUAUCGUUCGAAUAAGGAUCGGCUAACUCCGUGCCAGCAGCCGCGGUAAUACGGAGGAUGCAAGCGUUAUCCGGAUUUAUUGGGUUUAAAGGGUGCGUAGGCGGUCGGGUAAGUUAGAGGUGAAAGCCCGAGGCUCAACCUCGGAAUUGCUUUUGAUACUGUACGGCUAGAGAGUAGUAGUGGUAGGCGGAAUGUAUGGUGUAGCGGUGAAAUGCUUAGAGAUCA
This 364-nucleotide ribosomal RNA is filed under the name uncultured bacterium. RNAcentral describes it as "partial 16S ribosomal RNA". It matches the Rfam family "Bacterial small subunit ribosomal RNA", at positions 338 to 699 of the family's 1533-position model. The record is from RNAcentral.